UAUAAGAUAGUUUAAAAAAAAUGUUGUAUUGUGGUUCCAAUGAUGUUAUUAACUCUUAUAA
This 61-nucleotide transfer RNA is filed under the name Vorticeros sp. n. MW-2019. Its description in RNAcentral is "tRNA-His". Lineage: Eukaryota; Metazoa; Platyhelminthes; Prolecithophora; Plagiostomidae. The record is from RNAcentral.